UACGAAGGGGGCUAGCGUUGCUCGGAAUCACUGGGCGUAAAGGGUGCGUAGGCGGGUUUUUAAGUCAGGGGUGAAAUCCUGGAGCUCAACUCCAGAACUGCCUUUGAUACUGAAGAUCUUGAGUCCGGGAGAGGUGAGUGGAACUGCGAGUGUAGAGGUGAAAUUCGUAGAUAUUCGCAAGAACACCAGUGGCGAAGGCGGCUCACUGGCCCGAUACUGACGCUGAGGCACGAAAGCGUGGGGAGCAAACAGGG
RNAcentral lists this ribosomal RNA (254 nucleotides) under uncultured bacterium. RNAcentral's name for it is "partial 16S ribosomal RNA". It matches the Rfam family "Bacterial small subunit ribosomal RNA", at positions 524 to 777 of the family's 1533-position model. The record is from RNAcentral.